CUUGCUUUGAGUUCUAGGCGGGCCUCUUUCCAGAGAGGUUUCUUAGGUCUAUUUUGGACCUAUCGAAGAUGAUGAAACCAACACAGAAGAAAGGAGCUCUGAGAUGAUUGCAGAGAUGGAAAUGAAGUCUGAUGAUAUUGAGCAUCCAGCCACAGACACCCGGGCUAGACUUUGCAGUCACUUGACCCAACACAUGAAGGAGACAUGCUUUUGUCCACCCGGAGGCCUGUACAGAAUCAUUCAUCCUGCAUCAUUCUGAGUAAUCACCAUGGGAAACGACACAGGCAAGAUGUCAGCAGCUCUCUUUGUCGUGAAUGCAUUUCCCAGAAUCUGGCCUGAUGGAUACAAAAAGAAAAUCUGAUCCUCGUUCAAGAAGAUGUGCACCUCACCCCCAGAAGUGGGUCAGAAAAAUGGGCAUCCUGCCAUACCCCAAAGUGCACCCUACAAAUGAGUCAACUGAAGGUCCUUUGGAAAUGAAGUCGUUAAGUAGAUUGAAGAAUAAUGAUUGACGUUUAUUCAGCAUACUAUAUGUUUCCCUCCGCUGAAAAGCCAAGGGCUGUGUCUUUCCUGUCUUCUCUGCUCCUCUCCUUUGCCUUCCUUCGUCCACCAGGCAGGUGGCCCUGCGGCAGCUCUGUCCAUGCUUAUUUACCAACCACAUCCAUGCAGCCUGUCUCCUUGCCCAAGUCAGCCAAGCCUCCCUGAGGGCCUAUUGGAGGAGCUCCCUCAUGACAGAGCAGAGGAAGAAACCCUAUCUAACACCAAGACUCACCAAGAGAACAAAAGAACUAUGCAGGCAGUAUACAGCAUGAUCUGACCCGCAUAGCGUCUUCUUUUCUGUAUUUGCAGGUGGCCUCAAGAACCAGCGAAAAGGGUGGCCUCAGGGGUAACUGAAAAUGGUACAUACUCUGGAAUCAGUCGUUUGCUUGGGGAAAAAUUGCUGAUGAUAAGGAAGGUGGGCUUUGUUUGCUGGCUUUCAUCUGGAGAGCCGCCCUGAUUCUGAAUUCCUGCUGGGAACAAGGGCUGAGGAUGUGAUGAAAGAAGCUGAUUUCCCAGACAAAGAACCAUGGCUGUUUUUCCAGAAGCAGUUUCAUUGCCUUUAAGUGGUGACAGAUUGUGUGCAUUAACAGUGGGCUGUUGUUUGUGUGAUCUGGGUGGUGUGAUUCUGAGUGUGCAUGUGCGCAUGUGUGUGUCUGUGUGUGUGUUUCCCUAGAUUGCCUCCAGCAAGGCAACUGCCAGUGUCAGCUUCUAAAUGAGAAAUCCCAUCGCUACUGUUUCACGUGAUUAUAUGUGUUUCAAAAUGUAUCCAAUGGUACACUUAAAAUGUGUGCAGUUCUUGUAUGGCAGGAACACCUCAAUAAGCUCAGGGGAAAAAUCCCAUCACCAGCUAGGCAAAUGUUCAUAGGGUGCCAAGUGGACAAAAGUGUGUUUCAGAUUCACUGUGAUUGAGUCAAUAACAACUUCUAUUAAUAAUUCUCACCUCCGUCCAGCCCUUUAUAGUCCCUUCAGGCAGUUUGAUUGGUGGUGAAUGAACAGCAGCCAUCAUUGUCCUUAUUUCACAUAAGAGAAAACAGAGGCUGGAGAAGGUGGAUGAAUUAUGGGGGGUCGCAAAGCCCACGGGUGGGGAACUGGGUGAGGCAGUCUGGAGCCUUCGAUCCAGAGCCUCUGCACUUUCUCCCACACGUCUGCUGCCUGGGAGAGACUGCACUUCUCCUUUGAGUUUGGCACCAAUUAUGAUUUUAAUCCUUGUUCCUAAGCCUCUUUGUGUGGGAUGCUCGCUGGACCUGAGAUGCAGCGACCCCAGCCCUUGAUCCCUCAGAUACUUUAGUAUUAAAUGGAUAUUUCCCCCAAUGAUGCUUCAUUCCUGCUUCUUCCCUUCUUCCCCCAAACCUUUAGAUUACAAGUGGUCUCAGCAUUAAACCUCCCCCACCUCGGCUAGGGUGCUGGGGCACGGUUCCUUCCUUUUGCAGGAGCCCUGGGGGGAACCCACAUGUCACUCCCGGUUCUGAAGAAAUCUGAGAAAG
Physeter macrocephalus (sperm whale) is the source of this 2021-nucleotide long non-coding RNA. RefSeq lists it as uncharacterized. NCBI's taxonomy places the organism in Eukaryota, Metazoa, Chordata, Mammalia, Artiodactyla, Physeteridae. The transcript is spliced from 7 exons. The record is from RefSeq and is a predicted model, not a curated record.